UCCACGUCGUGUUGUUUUCCGCGUCUGUGUACGUGUGUGUGUGAGUGUAUACGAGGACGAUCGUAGGAGCGCGAGAGAGCAGAAGCUACGACGAUAUCGGGACACCAAGGCAGCAGCAGCAGCAGCAGACGCGCAACGUAGUACGACACACUAAUUGUACGUACGGGACACACGCGUGCAUGCACGCACACACACACACGCGCGCGCGCUUGCUACACGCUCACACUCUCUCCUUCUCUAUAGAGUACGCAUCACACACGACGAGACCGUCAACGGGUUCUCCACGCACGAAACACAACACCCCGCCCGACAACGACGCACCACGAACUGAACCGUACCGAGACUGAGCAGGCCUCGGAAACGCGACUCGGAGAAGAGGGGCAACCGGCCGCAACGUGGGGGGAACUAUCAUUGCGAGGUUGGUGGCGAAGGGAGAGAAACGGGGAGAUCUAUCGCAGGCGCGGACGUAACGCGUCGGGCGCCCCGCGCUCUCGAAACGCCUCGACACUCCGAUCGCCGUCAAAUCUCUGCAUCCUAAUAGUGAAGCAACAUCGAGAUUCAGGCGCGGAUUCAUUCUCGUGAUCCCAUGCAAAUUCCAUCCCCAUGAAUGUACAUCCCUGGACGCUUACGGGGCUUAAUAUCGCCGAGGGUAACAGAGAGGAAGGAAGAUAGGGGCAGCCCUACGAGCAGGAAUACUGACGCUGAGGCUGCGAGCGCGACGAAGGGACCGUCGAAUGAAAGA
Molecule: long non-coding RNA, 742 nt
Organism: Linepithema humile (Argentine ant)
Lineage: Eukaryota; Metazoa; Arthropoda; Insecta; Hymenoptera; Formicidae
Source: RefSeq, a predicted model, not a curated record